UUAUGGAUUUAUUUAUUUAUUUAAUUUAAUAAAAUUAUUUUUUUAUUUAUUAAUUUAAUUGAAAAAUUUGUUUUUAUUAUAGUUUAUUAGUAAAGUGAUUGAAUUUUUUUAUAUUUAUAAAAGUAUAAUUUAUUUUUUGUACCUUGUGUAUCAGGGUUUAUUAAUUAAGAAUUUUUUAUAAAAUUUUCUCGAAUUAAAAAGUUCUAAUUGAUUAUAUGUUUAAUUUUUUCAUAAAUUUUCAUAAUUUUUAAUUAGAAAUGAAAUGUUAUUCGUUUUUUAAUAUAUCUAGUUUUUUAAGAAAAAAAUUUAAUUUUGUUAUUAUUUAUUUAUUAGUUAAUUUUUAAUUAAUAAAUUUUAGUAUCAAAUAUUUAAAGGGAUAAGCUUUUAUUUAUAUUAUUAAAAAUUUUAUUUAUUUUAUCUUUUGUAUAAUUUAUAUUGUUAAUCAUAUGAAUAAUUUAAUAUUUAAUUUUAUUUUAUUUAAAAUUUAUAUUAAUUUUAAUUUUUAUAUUAAAAAAUUUUGUUUAAUAUAAUUUCUUUAGGUAUUAUGAUUAAAUUAGUAGAUGAAUAUGUAUAAAAUAUUUAAUUUUUUUAGGUAAUAAAAAGGAACUCGGCAAAAUAAAUUUUCUGCCUGUUUAUUAAAAACAUGUCUUUUUGAUAAUAAUUUAAGGUUUAAUCUGCUCAAUGAAUUAUUAAAUUGCCGCAGUAUUUUGACUGUGCAAAGGUAGCAUAAUAAUUAGCUUUUUUAUUGGGAGCUGGAAUGAAUGAUUGGACAAGAAAAUUUCUGUCUCUUUAUUAUUUUUUAUUGAAUUUUACUUUUAAGUUAAAAGGCUUAAAUUUUUUUAAAAGACGAGAAGACCCUAUAGAGUUUAAUUUUUUAACGGGUAAAAUUUAUUGGUAUAAAGAAUAUUUUUAUUUAUAGAAAAAUUUGGUUGGGGUGACUGAAAGAUAAUAUUAACUCUUUUAAUUAUAAUCAAUUAUAUUUGAAUGUAAAAUCUAUAUUUUUAAUUUUAAAAUAAAUUACCUUAGGGAUAACAGCGUAAUUUUUUUUUAGAGUUCUUAUUAAAAGAAAAGUUUGCGACCUCGAUGUUGGAUUAAAAUUUAUUUUAGGUGUAGAAGCUUGAAUAUUAAGUCUGUUCGACUUUUAAAAUUUUACAUGAUCUGAGUUUAAACCGGUGUGAGCCAGGUUGGUUUCUAUCUUUAAAUUUUUAAUAUAUUUUAGUACGAAAGGACCAAAUAUAUAGUAAGUUAUUUUAAAUUGAAUAUUAUU
This 1267-nucleotide ribosomal RNA is filed under the name Aquatica sp. q XF-2022. RNAcentral describes it as "16S ribosomal RNA". The stretch from base 1028 to 1186 matches the Rfam family "Archaeal large subunit ribosomal RNA", at positions 2542 to 2701 of the family's 2987-position model. The record is from RNAcentral. Lineage: Eukaryota; Metazoa; Arthropoda; Insecta; Coleoptera; Lampyridae.